RNAcentral lists this ribosomal RNA (490 nucleotides) under uncultured bacterium. RNAcentral's name for it is "partial 16S ribosomal RNA". It matches the Rfam family "Bacterial small subunit ribosomal RNA", at positions 30 to 507 of the family's 1533-position model. The record is from RNAcentral.
AUUGAACGCUGGCGGCAGGCCUAACACAUGCAAGUCGAACGGUAACAGGAAGAAGCUUGCUUCUUUGCUGACGAGUGGCGGACGGGUGAGUAAUGUCUGGGAAACUGCCUGAUGGAGGGGGAUAACUACUGGAAACGGUAGCUAAUACCGCAUAAUGUCGCAAGACCAAAGAGGGGGACCUUCGGGCCUCUUGCCAUCGGAUGUGCCCAGAUGGGAUUAGCUAGUAGGUGGAGUAACGGCUCACCUAGGCGACGAUCCCUAGCUGGUCUGAGAGGAUGACCAGCCACACUGGAACUGAGACACGGUCCAGACUCCUACGGGAGGCAGCAGUGGGGAAUAUUGCACAAUGGGCGCAAGCCUGAUGCAGCUAUGCCGCGUGUAUGAAGAAGGCCUUCGGGUUGUAAAGUACUUUCAGCGGGGAGGAAGGGAGUAAAGUUAAUACCUUUGCUCAUUGACGUUACCCGCAGAAGAAGCACCGGCUAACUCCGUG